CACAUCAUUACGAGAGAAACUGCUGUGUUUAGGACCUGGAGGACGCGGCGUCACUGCAGGGAGCUUCUGCGAUCAGCGCACGGACAGACAGACAGACAGACAGACAGACAGACAGACAGACUGUUUACCAGCUCGCAGCUCAAAACAAGAGCACGACUGCGCAUCGACAAAUGAAAAUGUUUCAACUGCUGUACUUUGUGUUUCUGCUGAGCUCUGGUUUGGUGGACUGUUGGUCUGUUGUUGAAGAGUGUGUAACAUCUAAUGGAGAGGACUAUAGGGGAAUUCAACAGAAGACAUCCACAGGGAAUAUCUGCCUCAACUGGAAGAGU
Long non-coding RNA from Sinocyclocheilus rhinocerous, 329 nucleotides. RefSeq lists it as uncharacterized. Lineage: Eukaryota; Metazoa; Chordata; Actinopteri; Cypriniformes; Cyprinidae. The transcript is spliced from 3 exons. The record is from RefSeq and is a predicted model, not a curated record.